AUGGCCACCGUCGGGCCACCCGGCGCCUAUCGGAGGAUCACCGUGCACUACAGCACCGCCGGUGAUGAUGUGAACCACGAUGACUUCCUCGAGUAUGUGAUCGGUGAUGUUCUUCAACACCAGGAGGGCCUGCACCAAUCCUUCGGCACAGGGGCCCCUGGUGCAUCCUGGAGCAUGCAUUGCUGCCAUGGGGAGAGCAGCAGAGGCACAGCAGCAGAAACCUCAGGAAGUUCAGAGGAACAGAUCGCUGCCGACCUCAAAUACGCCAGGAUGCUGCAGGAGAUGGAGGAUCUGGAUGUGGACACGCCUCCCAACGAAGACGAACAAGACGACAUAAGCUGUGUGCCUUCCCCAUCCGACACGGACGACGACGAUGAUCGCGGCGAUGAAGAGGAGGCAGCUGGGCAGGAUGAUGAUGACAACGACGACACCAACGACGAUGUUGAUCCGGACAACAUGACAUAUGAGCAAGGGCAGGAACUAGUGGAAUCAGUGGGAAAUGAGAGCAGAGGUUUAUCAGAUGAGCUCCUGUCAUACUUGGUGCCAUGGAAGUACAGGUCAGGAUCAGGGUUCUUCUCAAGGAGGACAAACCAUGAUGACACUUGUACUGUGUGCCUGUCAGCUUUCAGAAACCGGGAGAACAUCAUAACCUUGCCCUGCAAACAUAAUUACCAUGCAAGUUGCAUUAGCAGCUGGCUCAAGAUCAACAAGACCUGCCCAGUUUGCAAGUAUGAAGUGUUUGGGCCCUCCUAG
Molecule: ribosomal RNA, 753 nt
Filed under: Triticum aestivum (bread wheat)
Lineage: Eukaryota; Viridiplantae; Streptophyta; Magnoliopsida; Poales; Poaceae
Description: partial small subunit ribosomal RNA
Source: RNAcentral